GAUGAACGCUGGCGGCGUGCCUAAUGCAUGCAAGUCGAGCGAACGGACGAGAAGCUUGCUUCUCUGAUGUUAGCGGCGGACGGGUGAGUAACACGUGGAUAACCUACCUAUAAGACUGGGAUAACUUCGGGAAACCGGAGCUAAUACCGGAUGAUAUUUUGAACCGCAUGGUUCAAAAGUGAAAGACGGUCUUGCUGUCACUUAUAGAUGGAUCCGCGCUGCAUUAGCUAGUUGGUAAGGUAACGGCUUACCAAGGCAACGAUGCAUAGCCGACCUGAGAGGGUGAUUGGCCACACUGGAACUGAGACACGGUCCAGACUCCUACGGGAGGCAGCAGUAGGGAAUCUUCCGCAAAGGGCGAAAGCCUGACGGAGCAACGCCGCGUGAGUGAUGAAGGUCUUCGGAUCGUAAAACUCUGUUAUUAGGGAAGAACAUAUGUGUAAGUAACUGUGCACAUCUUGACGGUACCUAAUCAGAAAGCCACGGCUAACUACGUG
Molecule: ribosomal RNA, 497 nt
Filed under: uncultured bacterium
Lineage: Bacteria
Description: partial 16S ribosomal RNA
Rfam family: Bacterial small subunit ribosomal RNA
Source: RNAcentral